Non-coding RNA from Lepisosteus oculatus (spotted gar), 4056 nucleotides. Lineage: Eukaryota; Metazoa; Chordata; Actinopteri; Semionotiformes; Lepisosteidae. The record is from RefSeq and is a predicted model, not a curated record.
GCUCUGUGGGGGCGGGGCGGGGUUAGGGUCACGCAGAAGAGCUGGGAAGCACAACAGUGCCGCAGCAUGACAGCACUGCAGUCUCUUUCCUAAGCAGGUAUUGCGCCAUUACCGAAAAUCUUUAGAGUAAAAUAAAGACGACUGUUGUACCUAAGUGCAGAGAUUUAUAAUUUUUGACAAAGAAAACAUGACAGUUAAAGAGUCUGAACCUUCUCUCUGUGGGGCAACAAAGCAGCAGAACUAGAUCACAACAGCAGACCCAGGCUUCUCUACAACAGGAGGUGCCUCCAGUCUCCUGAACAUCAACGAUUGGGUGUUUCUUUCAAUUUCUACUUUUUAUUAUCUUCCUAUUGGGACAAAUUGUGGUGCAGGGUCAUAGAGCGAGGUACUUUGUGCCUACAGUUUUGAGAAGCCCCUACCUUCUUUGACCCCAUCUCUUUCAACAUUUGUAGUUUCCUCUGUGCAGGAGAUAUGGAGAACUACGUGUCCCAUGAUGCCUUGGGGACAUGGCCUGUUCAUUUCCUGUCUAAAGAGUCCCAGUUGGGAGGCAUUAAGCUACCUUCUUGCUGGCUUUAAAAGGCUGUGGCAAACAUACGUUCGGGUUUGAAGACCUGAGAGACAGGCUGGCUUUUGGUGAUUGCUUAUUUUGGACUCUAGAAAGGUCAAAGUAAGUAGUACUGAAGUUUAGUACUCAUCUAAAGGAUUCUACUUGGUUAUAUUAUUGAUCCUAAAAAGUGUGAGCUUGCUGGUGUUUUUAGAUACUGUUUUUGUAGAAAACAGAGGCUGAAGUGCUUUGCUGUUUUUUCUCUGGUAGUAGACUGAGUAUUUUCACACUAUAAAGAGGCUGACUGUGCUGUCACUUCACUGUGGGCUCCAUUGGGUUGACUUUGUGCUUCGGUCACUGUUCUUUCACAGUGCUGCUCGAGAUUAAAGAAACCCAUUUCCCUUGUGCUUGCCUGCGUGUGGUGUCUCUUUUCUACCUGGACACUUUCUUGAAGCUCACUAUAGAGCAGCACACCUGAGCUGGGUGUGUGAAGAGGUUUCGAUUCCUUUGACAGAGAGGAGGCCACUAGGGGCUUAGUUCCAGGCAAUGACACUGUGAUUUGCAGUUGUAAAUAUCAAACAGGGUACAGGUCACUGACAUGCAUUUACUGUCCUGCAGAGUCUGCAUGCGUCUCAAAGCAGCAACAGCCCAGCCCUCUCGCAUACACAGCUAAAGUAGCAAAGUGAGAUGUGGGCUCUGAUCAGCAUGUCUGCUCAAGCAGAAGUUUGAUUAAAAACAAGCUGCAGUGACGGUUAAACCCCGCCUUGCUAACGGUUAGUUCAACAGCCCCACAGACUGGAAAUGUUCCUGCUUUGCCCACGUUUGCAGAAGAGCUUGUUUAUCGUGCUGAAAUCUCAUCAGCACCUGCUCCCACACCAGCCCUCAGCAAUCUGGCAGUGGGGGCUGUUCGAACAGCUGCAGGGCUGCUGCAAGCCAGCAGGUGUCAGUCCCUCACAUGCUUGUAUUGUACAGGAGCCCUGCAGCUGCUAAAACCUGGAAUGGACUCCAGCCCAGAGGCUUGGAGUCAGGAGGGGCUUGCCUUUCCCGAGCCCACUCUGUCUGGGAGCAGCCAUGAGCGAAUCGUUGGCGGGGGUGUCUGAAUUGGGGGGGGAGACUCGCAGGAGUGAAUGUAGAAAGGAGAAGCAGGGCUGCUCUCUGUGCCUGUGCUCGCUGCCAGAGCCCAGCCCCUCUGCUUCAGGAGGAGGAGGAGGAGGAGGGACGGACAGGGAGUGGAGGAAGACGUCUGCAGUGUCCACACUGUCCAUCAGGCUCUCGGAUGAAGCCAGGUGCAUGGACCCGGUCAGCAGGUCAGUACAGUCUCUCUGCCUCUCUCUGUCCUCCCUCGCUCUCUCCUGUACUAUCCCAUCUCCACCACGAGCCUCUCGCUCUUCAAAUCCCCCAAGUAGAUCAUUAGAAAGGCGCCAUUACUGAAACACAAAACUGCUUGUUUUGCAGAAAGCCCUUGUUGAACAGCUUGAAAAUAUCUGUGAGUUUAACCCAACGGGCUUCCGCCACAGGAGUGAAUCAGCACUAAAAAUGCUAACGCACAUUUUUCGAUGAAACUGAGUUUUCAAGAAGGUUUUAAAUAUUUGGCAUCUCCGGCCUGAGCUCUGAGCCACAUGUGCUGUAACCACAGAGAUUUAUAAUGAUCUCUGACAUGACGGCUGGUUCCCAUCACAGUCCGUCAGCUCUGGGAGCAGCAGAUAGUCUUUCUCUCAAACCUAAUGGGGCCCAGAGAUCCUGAACACCCAGAGAACAGAACUACUGCAAACUAUUCCCUUCUCUGCCCUUCAGUAUGUCCCCCUGUUGCCCCGAGCUCAUUGCACCCCGGUGGUCCCAGCUCUCCUGGCCAGCUGCAUGGAGUGACGGACUUCAUUUCUCGAUGCGCGUGCCAGUCGCGAUCUCGCACGCGGGUCCGUUUCGUGUCCUGCGGGUUCGGCACGCCGAGCACACAGCUGCCUCCUGUCCUCUCUGCCUGUACUGUACUGUCCGUCCGCUGCUGCGUUCUCGGUAUUCCGUGUGCUGCUCAGCUCCUGCUCCGUGACGCGGCGUUUGCCACGGCGCUCCGCAUCGCCCUGGGGUGCAGCUGACAGGCCCGGCCUGGCCGGAACAGGGCUCCUGGGACAGUCGCUGAUCUGACCGCUGCCAGGAGGAAGAGGGACCGGAGUGCUCCGAGGGAGUUUAACAUCUCCCAGCAGGGGGAGGAAGGGCGCUGGCGCAACACUGUCUUCAGGAGUCGCUGGGUUUGGCUCUGACGGGUCAGAAGGCUCUGUUUGUCUGUAUAUGCACAGGGUAAUUACACGGCAGUCUGCAAGCUGCAGUCUCACCCUCCGGGCCAUUUUACAUUCACGUCUGUGUGCUUCUGUCUCCUAUCCUGCCUUUCAAAAGAUGCAAACAGCGCUUUUCUUUAGCGCUGAACAGCUGGAGACAACGAGAGGAGCCGGCGGAACAGCCCAGCCGCGGCGGCACUUGAAUAUUCUAGAAAUGAUGGGAUCUAUGUUUUUCCUGUGGGAACCUCCCAGAGCCUAGUGCUGCUGCCAGCGGGGAGGAGGAAACUGGAGACUUGCAGUGUGAUCUUGCAGGAUUGCUGCUCCAACUUGACAGCUGCAGCCGAUGGACACACAUGCAGAUGUCAUCUAGAGUGCAGUCUCCUCAGGGUUGGGAGAGGCUAUCUAUAGCUCUAGUCUCACUGGCGCCUGACCAGGAGUAGGCAUGACUGUACAUCACCCCUCUCUGCCCUGGCUCUCCUGCUAACUGCUGCCACCAGCCCUGCGGCCAACGCCUGAGCCGAGCCUCUCCGUGUCGGCUGACUCGCCACUAUUGGCAAAGCGUCCGUCUCGCAGACUCUCCGCGGAUUUGGACAGAUCGAGAGGGCGCAGCUCCACCUAGUGGUCAUGUACUUCCCCAGCACAGGCGUGGCCCCGCCCCCCCACACACCCCCAGCGCCUACUAGGAUGUCCAGUAACCACGGAGAUGAUGUUGGAAGUUCUUAAGAAACUGCUGGAGCUGCGCAGUACUAUUGAGACAUGCAGACCUGGUGCAGUGUGGGAAUUAUCUCUGUGUCCAUCACAGAUUUUGUUUUGUGACUUUGUAUUACACUUAUUAGGUUUAUACUGAACAAUGAGGUUGAGGGGAGCUGGUACUCAGUGUUGCUGCUGCUGUGCUCGGUGACGCAGGGGCUGGAGAGCUGCAGCUGUUCCGCUGAGUCAGUUGGCCACAAUGCUCUAGUGGUAAACUGGAGGGAGAGGAGGUCUGGCAGCUCAUGCAGCGUGUAAACCUUCAGCAGAACGAGGUUUUCUAGCUCUGUACGAGCACGGUGUGUUUAGGUCUGUCUGUCGGCGAGCGUUGGUGGUACUGCCAGGUGCCCGGCGAGUCCUGCCCUACCUGGUCAGCUCUUUGAGACAGUGGAUGCAGAAGCGAUGCCCACACUGUGCCUGGAAGGGCUUCCGCAGCACCUGCCUGCACGCCUGGCACAGGUACUUGGGCUCAACGGGGACGGACAGCACCGUCUG